RNAcentral lists this ribosomal RNA (277 nucleotides) under Lepetodrilus elevatus. RNAcentral describes it as "partial 28S ribosomal RNA". It matches the Rfam family "Eukaryotic large subunit ribosomal RNA", at positions 666 to 946 of the family's 3401-position model. Lineage: Eukaryota; Metazoa; Mollusca; Gastropoda; Lepetellida; Lepetodrilidae. RNAcentral also lists the same sequence under 1 other name. The record is from RNAcentral.
CCAAGAAGUCCAACAUGUGCGCGAGUCAUUGGGUGCUACGAAACCUAAAGGCGCAAUGAAGGUGAGAGGUGAGAUCCCCGUCCACCGCGGCGAGGCGCAUCACCGGCCCGUCUGCAAAGGCGGAGCACGAGCGCACACGUUGGGACCCGAAAGAUGGUGAACUAUGCCUGAGCAGGACGAAGCCAGAGGAAACUCUGGUGGAAGUCCGCAGCGAUUCUGACGUGCAAAUCGAUCGUCAAACUUGGGUAUAGGGGCGAAAGACUAAUCGAACCAUCUA